RNAcentral lists this ribosomal RNA (762 nucleotides) under uncultured archaeon. RNAcentral's name for it is "bacterial SSU rRNA". It matches the Rfam family "Archaeal small subunit ribosomal RNA", at positions 112 to 879 of the family's 1478-position model. The record is from RNAcentral.
CCCCCCAGUCGGGCAACCCGGGAACUGGGUAUAAUACCCGACAGAUCUCGACUGCUGGAAUGCAUCGAGCUCUAAAGCUCCGGCGCCUGAGGAUGGGUCUGCGGCCUAUCAGGUAGUAGUGGGUGUAGCGUACCUACUAGCCUACGACGGGUACGGGUUGUGAGAGCAAGAGCCCGGAGAUGGAUUCUGAGACACGAAUCCAGGCCCUACGGGGUGCAGCAGGCGCGAAAACUUUACAAUGCCGGCAACGGCGAUAAGGGGACCUCGAGUGCCAGGUUACAAAUCUGGCUGUCGUGAUGCCUAAAAAGCAUUGCAUAGCAAGGGCCGGGCAAGACCGGUGCCAGCCGCCGCGGUAACACCGGCGGCUCGAGUGGUAACCGUUAUUAUUGGGUCUAAAGGGUCUGUAGCCGGCCGGAUAAGUCUCUUGGGAAAUCCAGCAGCUCAACUGUUGGGCUUUCAGGAGAUACUGUUCGGCUCGAGGCCGGGAGAGGUGAGAGGUACUUCAGGGGUAGGGGUGAAAUCUUGUAAUCCUUGAAGGACCACCAGUGGCGAAGGCGUCUCACCAGAACGGACCUGACGGCAAGGGACGAAAGCUAGGGGCACGAACCGGAUUAGAUACCCGGGUAGUCCUAGCCGUAAACGAUACUCGCUAGGUGUCGGCCACGGUGCGACCGUUGUCGGUGCCGUAGGGAAGCCGUGAAGCGAGCCACCUGGGAAGUACGGCCGCAAGGCUGAAACUUAAAGGAAUUGGCGGGGGAGCAC